ACCUGGCUGGCUCAGUCGGAAGAGCUUGUGACUCUUGAUCCCAGGGGUCAUGAGUUCAAGCCCCAUGUGGGGUA
This 74-nucleotide transfer RNA is filed under the name Canis lupus familiaris (dog). It matches the Rfam family "tRNA". Rfam says of the family: Transfer RNA (tRNA) molecules are approximately 80 nucleotides in length. The record is from Rfam by way of RNAcentral. RNAcentral also lists the same sequence under 1 other name. Lineage: Eukaryota; Metazoa; Chordata; Mammalia; Carnivora; Canidae.